GUCCGUAGGCGGUGCGGUAAGUUGGGAGUGAAAUCUCUGAGCUUAACUUAGAGGCUGCUUCCAAAACUACCGUGCUAGAGUGCGAGAGAGGCAAGUGGAAUUGCGGGUGUAGCGGUGAAAUGCGUAGAUAUCCGCAGGAACAUCCGAGGCGAAAGCGGCUUGCUGGAUCGCAACUGACGCUGAGGGACGAAAGCUAGGGGAGCAAACAGGAUUAGAUACCCUGGUAGUCCUAGCCCUAAACCAUCACGACUUGGGGUUUGUCCUGUACGGGGCAAGUCCCGGAGCUAACGCGUUAAGUCGUGCGCCUGGGGAGUACGGUCGCAAGACUGAAACUCAAAGGAAUUGACGGGGGCCCGCACAAGCGGUGGAACAUGUGGUUCAAUUCGACGCAACGCGAAGAACCUUACCUGGGCUUGAACCGCACAGGACCCUCCUUAGAAAUAGGGACUUCCCGCAAGGGACCUGUGUAGAGGUGCUGCAUGGCUGUCGUCAGCUCGUGCCGUGAGGUGUUGGGUUAAGUCCCGCAACGAGCGCAACCCUUACUCAUAGUU
Molecule: ribosomal RNA, 551 nt
Filed under: uncultured bacterium
Lineage: Bacteria
Description: bacterial SSU rRNA
Rfam family: Bacterial small subunit ribosomal RNA
Source: RNAcentral